This 533-nucleotide unclassified non-coding RNA is filed under the name Cimex lectularius (bed bug). RNAcentral describes it as "histidine-rich glycoprotein-like, transcript variant X2". Lineage: Eukaryota; Metazoa; Arthropoda; Insecta; Hemiptera; Cimicidae. The record is from RNAcentral.
CUUCCGCGCACAUUCGCUAAUUGAAACGCAAACAGCCUCCGGCUACCAGCCACCUUCAUUUCCCCACACAUCCAUCCUUGAAGUGUACUUAUCCAGAGGAAAUACUUUGACAAUGAUGGAAAAAACGUGUGAUCCUAAAAAGGACGUCGCGUAGUGGGGACGCUUGCUCAAUAGCCGAAUACGUCUCGAUAUAAACCCAGUGACCGGACACUACCGCCGAACCUUCGCUGAAGAAUACACCAUCAUGUCUCGAUUCGUUUUUGUUCUUCUAGUUUUAACGGCAGCGGCGGCCUCCUGUUUGGCCGAACACUACUACGGAAAUUACGGUCACCACGGUGGUCACUACGGCCAUCAUGGCGGCCACUACGGUCAUCUCGGCAGCCACUACGGUCAUCACGGCGGCCAUGGUUUUUACAAGUACUACCCGCAUUACUACCACGGUCAUUAUGGUCACCAUUACUAAUCUUUCUUCUAUGACAUAGCAACAACAUCGACCAAAAUUUUUGUAAAAUAAAUUUUGUUUAAUUUGUUAA